CAGCAAGUCCAGCAGUCCCUCAGCAAGUCCAGAAAGUCCCUCAGCAAGUCCACCAAGUCCCUCAGCAAGUCCAGCAGUCCCUCAGCAAGUCCACCAAGUCCAGCAGUACCUCAGCAAGUCCACCAAGUCCAGCAGUCCCUCAGCAAGUCCAGCAAGUCCCUCAGCAAUCCAGCAGUCCCUCAGCAAAUCCACCAAGUCCAGCAGUCCCUCAGCAAAUCCACCAAGUCC
This is a long non-coding RNA of Melanotaenia boesemani (Boeseman's rainbowfish), 228 nucleotides long. RefSeq lists it as uncharacterized. Lineage: Eukaryota; Metazoa; Chordata; Actinopteri; Atheriniformes; Melanotaeniidae. The record is from RefSeq and is a predicted model, not a curated record. The transcript has 3 exons.